This 312-nucleotide ribosomal RNA is filed under the name uncultured bacterium. RNAcentral describes it as "bacterial SSU rRNA". It matches the Rfam family "Bacterial small subunit ribosomal RNA", at positions 30 to 342 of the family's 1533-position model. The record is from RNAcentral.
AUUGAACGCUGGCGGCAUGCCUUACACAUGCAAGUCGAACGGCAGCACGGGGGCAACCCUGGUGGCGAGUGGCGAACGGGUGAGUAACAUAUCGGAACAUACCCUAGAGUGGGGGAUAACGUAGCGAAAGUUACGCUAAUACCGCAUACGAUCUAAGGAUGAAAGUGGGGGAUCUUCGGACCUCAUGCUCAUGGAGUGGCCGAUAUCUGAUUAGCUAGUUGGUGAGGUAAAGGCUCACCAAGGCGACGAUCAGUAGCUGGUUUGAGAGAACGACCAGCCACACUGGAACUGAGACACGGUCCAGACUCCUAC